Molecule: non-coding RNA, 21 nt
Filed under: Caenorhabditis elegans
Lineage: Eukaryota; Metazoa; Nematoda; Chromadorea; Rhabditida; Rhabditidae
Source: RNAcentral
UAUAAAACUGGCGUUGUGGAC